This 204-nucleotide small nuclear RNA is filed under the name Suricata suricatta (meerkat). RNAcentral describes it as "U2 spliceosomal RNA (ENSSSUG00005007454.1)". The stretch from base 1 to 87 matches the Rfam family "U2 spliceosomal RNA". The record is from Rfam by way of RNAcentral. Lineage: Eukaryota; Metazoa; Chordata; Mammalia; Carnivora; Herpestidae.
AUCGCUUCUCGGCCUUUUGGCUAAGAUCAAGUGUAGCAUUCUGAAAACCAGAAAUAAUUUACCAGUGAGUUUUGAAGUUGUCCCUUCCGCAUAGAAAAUGUACAUAUGUCUUUGAGUUUUCUGUCCUGUUUUCAUCCAAAAGUUGAACAGUAUUAAUCACAUGGGGAGAAAAAAAAUUCUGAAGUACUCUUGAGUUUAAGUCAA